RNAcentral lists this ribosomal RNA (1042 nucleotides) under uncultured Actinomycetes bacterium. RNAcentral describes it as "bacterial SSU rRNA". It matches the Rfam family "Bacterial small subunit ribosomal RNA", at positions 419 to 1472 of the family's 1533-position model. Lineage: Bacteria; Bacillati; Actinomycetota; Actinomycetes. The record is from RNAcentral.
UCGGGUGUAAACCUCUUUCAGCAGGGACGAAGCGUUUGUGACGGUACCUGCAGAAGAAGCGCCGGCCAACUACGUGCCAGCAGCCGCGGUAAGACGUAGGGCGGCAAGCGUGUCCGGAUUUAUUGGGCGUAAAGAGCUCGUAGGCGGCUUGUCGCGUCGACUGUGAAAACCCGUGGCUCAACUGCGGGCUUGCAGUCGAUACGGGCAGGCUAGAGUUCGGUAGGGGAGACUGGAAUUCCUGGUGUAGCGGUGAAAUGCGCAGAUAUCAGGAGGAACACCGGUGGCGAAGGCGGGUCUCUGGGCCGAUACUGACGCUGAGGAGCGAAAGCGUGGGGAGCGAACAGGAUUAGAUACCCUGGUAGUCCACGCUGUAAACGUUGGGCGCUAGGUGUGGGGAGCCUCUCCGGUUCUCUGUGCCGCAGCUAACGCAUUAAGCGCCCCGCCUGGGGAGUACGGCCGCAAGGCUAAAACUCAAAGGAAUUGACGGGGGCCCGCACAAGCGGCGGAGCAUGCGGAUUAAUUCGAUGCAACGCGAAGAACCUUACCUGGGUUUGACAUCGCCGGAAAUCCUUCAGAGAUGGGGGGUCCUUCGGGGCCGGUGACAGGUGGUGCAUGGCUGUCGUCGGCUCGUGUCGUGAGAUGUUGGGUUAAGUCCCGCAACGAGCGCAACCCUUGUUCGAUGUUGCCAGCGCGUUAUGGCGGGGACUCAUCGAAGACUGCCGGGGUCAACUCGGAGGAAGGUGGGGAUGACGUCAAGUCAUCAUGCCCCUUAUGUCCAGGGCUUCACGCAUGCUACAAUGGCCGGUACAAUGGGCUGCGAUACCGUGAGGUGGAGCGAAUCCCAAAAAGCCGGUCUCAGUUCGGAUCGGGGUCUGCAACUCGACCCCGUGAAGUCGGAGUCGCUAGUAAUCGCAGAUCAGCAACGCUGCGGUGAAUACGUUCCCGGGCCUUGUACACACCGCCCGUCACGUCACGAAAGUCGGCAACACCCGAAGCCGGUGGCCUAACCCUUGUGGGGGGAGCCGUCGAAGGUGGGGCUGGA